Molecule: ribosomal RNA, 253 nt
Filed under: uncultured bacterium
Lineage: Bacteria
Description: partial 16S ribosomal RNA
Rfam family: Bacterial small subunit ribosomal RNA
Source: RNAcentral
UACGUAGGGGGCAAGCGUUAUCCGGAAUUACUGGGUGUAAAGGGUGAGUAGGCGGCAUGGUAAGCCAGAUGUGAAAGCCUUGGGCUUAACCCGAGGAUUGCAUUUGGAACUAUCAAGCUAGAGUACAGGAGAGGAAAGCGGAAUUCCUAGUGUAGCGGUGAAAUGCGUAGAUAUUAGGAAGAACACCAGUGGCGAAGGCGGCUUUCUGGACUGAAACUGACGCUGGGGCACGAAAGCGUGGGGAGCGAACAGG